GACGAACGCUGGCGGCGCGCCUAACACAUGCAAGUCGAACGGGAAAUAUUUCAUUGAGACUUCGGUGGAUUUGAUCUAUUUCUAGUGGCGGACGGGUGAGUAACGCGUGGGUAACCUGCCUUAUACAGGGGGAUAACAGUCAGAAAUGGCUGCUAAUACCGCAUAAGCGCACAGAGCUGCAUGGCUCAGUGUGAAAAACUCCGGUGGUAUAAGAUGGACCCGCGUUGGAUUAGCUUGUUGGUGGGGUAACGGCCCACCAAGGCGACGAUCCAUAGCCGGCCUGAGAGGGUGAACGGCCACAUUGGGACUGAGACACGGCCCAG
This 323-nucleotide ribosomal RNA is filed under the name uncultured bacterium. RNAcentral's name for it is "bacterial SSU rRNA". It matches the Rfam family "Bacterial small subunit ribosomal RNA", at positions 28 to 334 of the family's 1533-position model. The record is from RNAcentral.